This 187-nucleotide unclassified non-coding RNA is filed under the name uncultured Agaricomycetes. RNAcentral describes it as "sequence contains ITS1". Lineage: Eukaryota; Fungi; Basidiomycota; Agaricomycetes. The record is from RNAcentral.
ACGAAAGCACAACGUGCUCCGCUUGUCGCUGGCUUCCCUUUGCGGGGUCGCAUGUGCACGGCGGAGUUGCGUCUUUCCACUACACCCCUGUGCACCCACGCGUGGGUUCCCCCUUCGCCGGGGAAGCCCGCGUCCUCUUUACGAACGUAUGGAUUUAGAAUGGCACUUGCGUUUACGCAACUUAAUA